RNAcentral lists this ribosomal RNA (336 nucleotides) under uncultured bacterium. RNAcentral describes it as "bacterial SSU rRNA". It matches the Rfam family "Bacterial small subunit ribosomal RNA", at positions 8 to 334 of the family's 1533-position model. The record is from RNAcentral.
AGAGUUUGAUUAUGGCUCAGAUUGAACGCUGGCGGCGUGCUUAACACAUGCAAGUCGAACGUGAAAGUCCUUCGGGGCGAGUAAAGUGGCGCACGGGUGAGUAACGCGUGGAUAAUCUACCCUUAAGAUGGGGAUAACGGCUGGAAACGGUCGCUAAUACCGAAUACGCUCCCGAUUUUAUCAUUGGGGGGAAAGAUGGCCUCUGCUUGCAAGCUAUCGCUUAAGGAUGAGUCCGCGUCCCAUUAGCUAGUUGGCGGGGUAACGGCCCACCAAGGCAACGAUGGGUAGCCGGUCUGAGAGGAUGACCGGCCACACUGGAACUGGAACACGGUCCAG